RNAcentral lists this ribosomal RNA (253 nucleotides) under uncultured bacterium. Its description in RNAcentral is "partial 16S ribosomal RNA". It matches the Rfam family "Bacterial small subunit ribosomal RNA", at positions 524 to 776 of the family's 1533-position model. The record is from RNAcentral.
UACGAAGGGGGCUAGCGUUGCUCGGAAUGACUGGGCGUAAAGGGCGCGUAGGCGGCUUACAUAGUUAGGCGUGAAAUUCCUGGGCUCAACCUGGGGACUGCGUCUAAUACAUGUAGGCUUGAGUGUGAAAGAGGGUCGCGGAAUUUCCAGUGUAGAGGUGAAAUUCGUAGAUAUUGGAAAGAACACCGGUGGCGAAGGCGGCGACCUGGUUCAUUACUGACGAUGAGGCGCGAAAGAGUGGGGAGCAAACAGG